UUAAAGAGAGUUUGAUCCUGGCUCAGGACGAACGCUGGCGGCGUGCCUAAUACAUGCAAGUCGAACGAACGGAGGAAGAGCUUGCUCUUCCAAUGUUAGUGGCGGACGGGUGAGUAACACGUGGGCAACCUGCCUGUAAGUUGGGGAUAACUCCGGGAAACCGGGGCUAAUACCGAAUGAUAAAGUGUGGCGCAUGCCACGCUUUUGAAAGAUGGUUUCGGCUAUCGCUUACAGAUGGGCCCGCGGUGCAUUAGCUAGUUGGUAGGGUAAUGGCCUACCAAGGCAACGAUGCAUAGCCGACC
Molecule: ribosomal RNA, 302 nt
Filed under: Listeria monocytogenes FSL F6-684
Lineage: Bacteria; Bacillati; Bacillota; Bacilli; Caryophanales; Listeriaceae
Description: partial 16S ribosomal RNA
Rfam family: Bacterial small subunit ribosomal RNA
Source: RNAcentral